AAUAUUUGACAAUGGGCGAAAGCCUGAUCCAGCCAUGCCGCGUGUGUGAAGAAGGUCUUCGGAUUGUAAAGCACUUUAAGUUGGGAGGAAGGGGUUGAAGCUACUACCUUCAAUCUUUGACGUUACCAACAGACUAAGCACCGGCUUACUCUGUGCCAGCCGCCGCGGUAAUACAGAGGGUGCAAGCGUUAAGCGGAAUUACUGGGCGUAAAGCGCGGGUAGGUGGUUCAGUAAGAUGGAAGUGAAAUCCCCGGGCUUAACCUGGGAACUGCUUUCAUAACUGAUGAGCUAGAGUACGGUAGAGGGUAGUGGAAUUUCCUGUGUAGCGGUGAAAUGCGUAGAUAUAGGAAGGAACAACAGUGGCGAAGGCGACUACCUGGACUGAUACUGACACUGAGGUGCGAAAGCGUGGGGAGCAAACA
Molecule: ribosomal RNA, 422 nt
Filed under: uncultured bacterium
Lineage: Bacteria
Description: partial 16S ribosomal RNA
Rfam family: Bacterial small subunit ribosomal RNA
Source: RNAcentral